AGAGCGAACGCUGGCGGCAGGCCUAACACAUGCAAGUCGAGCGCCCCGCAAGGGGAGCGGCAGACGGGAGAGUAACACGUGGGAACAUGCCCUUCAGUCCGGAACAACCCAGGGAAACUUGGGCUAAUACCGGAUACGUCCGUAAGGAGAAAGAUUUAUCGCUGAAGGAUUGGCCCGCGUCUGAUUAGCUAGUUGGUGAGGUAACGGCUCACCAAGGCGACGAUCAGUAGCUGGUCUGAGAGGAUGAUCAGCCUCACUGGGACUGAGACACGGCCCAGACUCCUACGGGAGGCAGCAGUGGGGAAUAUUGGACAAUGGGCGCAAGCCUGAUCCAGCCAUGCCGCGUGGGUGAUGAAGGCCCUAGGGUUGUAAAGCCCUUUCGGCGGGGAAGAUAAUGACGGUACCGCAGAAGAGCCCGGCUAACUCGCGCCAGCAGCCGC
This 440-nucleotide ribosomal RNA is filed under the name uncultured bacterium. RNAcentral's name for it is "SSU rRNA". It matches the Rfam family "Bacterial small subunit ribosomal RNA", at positions 26 to 518 of the family's 1533-position model. The record is from RNAcentral.